CUAAGUUAAUAUAUUUUGGUGUUUUCAGCAUAUUAAAAUUAAUUAUGUUGAUUAUAUUUAAAUGGGCAUAAUAGGCACAUUUUGUGUAUAGAUCAUACCCCUGUAGUCUCACUGCUCAGUUCUCUGCCAUUUAGGAGUCAAAUCACUUUUGUUUCUGUUUAUGCUACCCUAGCCACACCUCCCCUGGCUGUGACUGACACAGCCACCAUUAAAAAAGGUAGUUUAAACACUAAUGUCUUUUUACAGGAAGUGUUUAGGAAAACCGUGUAAGUCACAUGCAGGGAGUUGGGACUAGGGCUGCAUAAACAAACUGAUUUAACUCCUAAAUGGCAGAAGA
Non-coding RNA from Pelobates cultripes (western spadefoot toad), 337 nucleotides. The record is from the annotation of a GenBank genome assembly. NCBI's taxonomy places the organism in Eukaryota, Metazoa, Chordata, Amphibia, Anura, Pelobatidae.